ACAUAGCCCCGAUAGCAACGGCAUCCUUUUUCUUUUAGGUUGCAUUGGUCCGAGCUGUGGCAACCUGAAAGAAAAAGAUAUAGUGGAUAGCGGGUUGGAAU
This 101-nucleotide small RNA is filed under the name Epilithonimonas lactis. Its description in RNAcentral is "Chryseobacterium halperniae Flavo-1 RNA". It matches the Rfam family "Flavo-1 RNA". The record is from RNAcentral. Lineage: Bacteria; Pseudomonadati; Bacteroidota; Flavobacteriia; Flavobacteriales; Weeksellaceae.